Molecule: ribosomal RNA, 540 nt
Filed under: Chlosyne leanira
Lineage: Eukaryota; Metazoa; Arthropoda; Insecta; Lepidoptera; Nymphalidae
Description: partial 16S ribosomal RNA
Rfam family: Archaeal large subunit ribosomal RNA (bases 403-540)
Source: RNAcentral
UCAAAAACAUGUCUUUUUGAUAAUAAUUUAAAGUCUAAUCUGCCCACUGAUAUAAUUAUUAAAGGGCUGCAGUAUAUUGACUGUACAAAGGUAGCAUAAUCAUUAGUCUUUUAAUUGAAGACUUGUAUGAAAGAUUUGAUGAGAUAUAAACUGUCUCUAUUUUAAGGAUAAAAUUUAAUUUUUUAGUUAAAAAGCUAAAAUAUUGUUAAAAGACGAGAAGACCCUAUAAAGUUUUAUAAUUUGUUUAUUUAAUAUUAAAUAUAUAAUUAAAUAUAAUAAUUAAUUAAAUUAUUUUAUUGGGGUGAUAGAAAAAUUUAAUAAACUUUUUUUAAAAACAUAAACAACAUAUAUAAGUGAAAAAAUGAUCCAUUAUUAAUGAUUAAAAGAAAAAAUUACUUUAGGGAUAACAGCGUAAUAUUUUUUUUUAGUACAAAUAAAAAGAAAAGUUUGCGACCUCGAUGUUGGAUUAAGAUAAAAUUUAGAUGCAAAAGUUUAAAAUUUUGAUCUGUUCGAUCAUUAAAAUCUUACAUGAUCUGAGCU